This 139-nucleotide small nucleolar RNA is filed under the name Sorghum bicolor (sorghum). Its description in RNAcentral is "Small nucleolar RNA Z247". It matches the Rfam family "Small nucleolar RNA Z247". Rfam says of the family: Z247 is a member of the C/D class of snoRNA which contain the C (UGAUGA) and D (CUGA) box motifs. Lineage: Eukaryota; Viridiplantae; Streptophyta; Magnoliopsida; Poales; Poaceae. The record is from Rfam by way of RNAcentral.
AAUAUCGAGGAUGAGGAGCUAAUCUCCUACAUCUUGACGGGUCUAGAUCGUGAUUUUGAUCCUGUCGUCACUGCUGUGGCGGUGCAAAAGGAGCCUCUCUCUCUCAUCGAGCUGUAUACACAACUGAUCAGCCAUGAGA